UACAUGGGGUGCAAACGUUGCUCGGAAUUAUUGGGCGUAAAGCGCACGUAGGCGGUUCGUUAAGUCGGAUGUGAAAGCCCUCGGCUCAACUGAGGAAGUGCACCCGAAACUGGCGAGCUUGAGUACGAAAGAGGAUCGCGGAAUUCCCGGUGUAGAGGUGAAAUGCGCAGAUAUCAGGAGGAACACCGAUGGCGAAGGCAGGUCUCUGGGCCACUACUGACGCUGAGAAGCGAAAGCGUGGGGAGCGAACAGG
This 253-nucleotide ribosomal RNA is filed under the name uncultured bacterium. Its description in RNAcentral is "partial 16S ribosomal RNA". It matches the Rfam family "Bacterial small subunit ribosomal RNA", at positions 524 to 776 of the family's 1533-position model. The record is from RNAcentral.